AGCCGGGCCAGACCUCCGCGCGGGCCGCGCCGGCAGCGCCAGCGCCGCGCCUCCGUGCCCGCAGUCAGGCAGCGCGGCGGGCAGCCCGCGGGGUCCUAGCUGGGCGCGCGCGGGCGCUGGUAACGGCCUGGCCAAAAGGCCCGGGCUUGCGAGGUGGAAAGGGAGCGGGGCGGGGCGAGAGGAGGCUGGGCUAGACCAUCUCACGGAGCGACCCCCCCUCCCGGCGGGGAGUGGGUUGGUCCCGCCCUGACCCCGCCCCCUCUGGCCUCUGCCAAUCAGAGCGAGCGGCGCGCGGCCAAUGCCGGCCUGGCCGGGGUUGAACGUCCCUCUCGCGCCGUUCAAACGGGCCCGAGGGGCCAACUGAGGAAUCCCUUCACCGAGAGCCGGAAGGAGCUGGGUAAUUGAGCCUGCGGUAGCAACAGGAUGGUGUCACUGAGACAAGAUGAAAUCUGUAAAUGUUUGGACCUUGAAGCAGUAACAAACUGAAAUGAAAGGCAAAGGCAGGAGUCCAGUUGCUCCAGGUCGUCCAAGCUCUGUCCCCUUUCACAACCAGACUGACCCAUGGAAGGAAAUUCAGGUGAUUCACUUUGCUGCAGUGGAAAGGAAAUCUGACUCUUCCCCCAGUGAGCAACCCGGGACCUUCACAAGCCCUAAAGCUGUUCCUACUGAGCCCUGCUAA
This 679-nucleotide long non-coding RNA is filed under the name Apteryx haastii (Great spotted kiwi). RNAcentral describes it as "lncRNA (ENSAHAG00000003985.1)". The record is from RNAcentral. Lineage: Eukaryota; Metazoa; Chordata; Aves; Apterygiformes; Apterygidae.